RNAcentral lists this ribosomal RNA (253 nucleotides) under uncultured bacterium. RNAcentral describes it as "partial 16S ribosomal RNA". It matches the Rfam family "Bacterial small subunit ribosomal RNA", at positions 524 to 776 of the family's 1533-position model. The record is from RNAcentral.
UACGUAGGGGGCUAGCGUUGUCCGGAAUCAUUGGGCGUAAAGCGCGCGUAGGCGGCCUGAUAAGUCCGGUGUGAAAGUCACAGGCUCAACCUGUGGAUGCCGCUGGAAACUGUUUGGCUCGAGUCCGGAAGGGGCGAGUGGAAUUCCUGGUGUAGCGGUGAAAUGCGUAGAUAUCGUAAGGAAGACCAGUGGCGAAGGCGGGUCUCUGGACAGUUCCUGACGCUGAGGCACGAAGGCCAGGGGAGCAAACGGG